Molecule: transfer RNA, 75 nt
Filed under: Saprospiraceae bacterium
Lineage: Bacteria; Pseudomonadati; Bacteroidota; Saprospiria; Saprospirales; Saprospiraceae
Also listed under: 1 other name
Description: tRNA-Val
Rfam family: tRNA
About the family: Transfer RNA (tRNA) molecules are approximately 80 nucleotides in length. Their secondary structure includes four short double-helical elements and three loops (D, anti-codon, and T loops).
Source: RNAcentral
GGGCGAUUAGCUCAGCUGGUUCAGAGCGCACGCCUCACACGCGUGAGGUCACUGGUUCGAAUCCAGUAUCGCCCA